Molecule: long non-coding RNA, 1447 nt
Organism: Erigeron canadensis
Lineage: Eukaryota; Viridiplantae; Streptophyta; Magnoliopsida; Asterales; Asteraceae
Exons: 6
Source: RefSeq, a predicted model, not a curated record
UCACCAGUAUAUAUAAACCUUUACAUCUGGCCGCCCUUUCUUCAUAAUCUACGAUCUCUAUCUCAAUCAAAUUUCACAAACACACAACUUCAAAACUUGAAAACUUCAAAUCGAAAUCAAAUGGCGUGCAACGAUCCAGAGCACAGAGAAGAAGAAUAAACCGCACCAGCAGAAGACCAAAACCGUUUAUCAUUAAACUCUUUCAAAACACUCUCUCACACACACACACACAUAGAAACAGACCAAAAAUAUUCCGAUCCAAAGAAAUAAAUUAAAUUAAAUUAAAAAUAUGUCGGGUCGGCAUGAUAAAGGUGUGAAUGUUCAGGUUCUACUGCGAUGCAGGCCGUUUAGUAAUGAGGAAGUUAAGAACAAUGCACCAGUGUAAUGAGUUAUGAAACUUGCCUAACAUGGUCUUUGUGAAGUUGCGGUUGCUAUGUUGAAUCUGUAAUCAAGCUUCACAUGUUUAACUAAAUUGGAAAUUAGUGACAGAUACAUCCUCAGCUCAAGCAAGGAGAGCCAAAGACAUUCAAGGCAUUCCAUGGGAACGAUUAAAUAUAAUAAGAGAUAGUUACAGGCAAACACAGCUGGAGUAGUACAGAAACUAUGAAAACAUCCCGUUAUCGGGUGAUAAAGUUGAUAGGGAAUGUAAACAGAAGCAGAAGGGUGGCAACUACUAUGAGUUUUUCCACAAUACAAGAUUGGUGAAGCCUACAAUCCUCCACUUUCAGCUAAGGAACCUUGUUUGGGCUACCUCAAACCUUGUUUAGGCGAGGAACGGGCUAAGGGUCGACCACUCCGUUUAGUCUGAGUCUCUAAAGGCCAUAAACUCGAGAAUCCACUAUGCGACAUUACUAAGAGACUAAAAAGACCUGCGGUUGCUUUGGUGUCUACCAACGGGACAUGGAUCAAGUAAGCACAACCACAUCUUUGGAAGAUUUAGAUACAUUUGGAUUUUAAGGAUAAUCAGUUAUUCUACCAUCAUAUGAAAAUAGAUUACCCGAAGACAAUGAACAUCUUUGCUAUACAUUCUAAAAAUUCUCAUUUGGUCUUAGAAGUGGAAAACUCAACCCCUUAAUAGAUAAAGGGUCAAUUUGGGUAAAUUUUAUACCUCUAACGGGUCAAAUGAGUUAAAUUAAAAAAGGUUGUAAAAUAGGAAACAUCUUAAAUGGGUCAAAAUAGCCAUUUGAUUGUGUUCAAAUGCAUGAAAUUAUAAAAUGUAGUUGAUUGCAGUUUUGGAAGAAAAAGUGUAUUAUUUUCUUAAAAGUGUCGGUUUUAUAACAUAAUGGUAAUAAAUCAUAUUCAUAGAACUAACAAUGAACAUGAAAGUGCUUGAGUGUCAACACAAAACUUGCCCGAUACUAAUAAGUACGAUAAUUAACAACUAAUAUCCCUUAACUAGGAAACAAAAUUCAGGUUUUCAGCUUACUACAUAACUAGGAAACAUUAU